RNAcentral lists this ribosomal RNA (254 nucleotides) under uncultured bacterium. Its description in RNAcentral is "partial 16S ribosomal RNA". It matches the Rfam family "Archaeal small subunit ribosomal RNA", at positions 474 to 727 of the family's 1478-position model. The record is from RNAcentral.
UACCAGCACCCCGAGUGGUCGGGACGAUUAUUGGGCCUAAAGCAUCCGUAGCCGGUCAUGCAAGUCUUCCGUUAAAUCCAGCCGCUCAACGGUUGGGCUGCGGAGGAUACUACGUGGCUAGGAGGCGGGAGAGGCAAGCGGUACUCAGUGGGUAGGGGUAAAAUCCUUUGAUCCAUUGAAGACCACCAGUGGCGAAGGCGGCUUGCCAGAACGCGCUCGACGGUGAGGGAUGAAAGCUGGGGGGAGCAAACAGG